UUUGAUCCUGGCUCAGGACGAACGCUGGCGGCGUGCCUAAUACAUGCAAGUCGAGCGGAUUUAUCCUUCGGGAUAAGUUAGCGGCGGACGGGUGAGUAACACGUAGGCAACCUGCCUAUAAGACUGGGAUAACUAUCGGAAACGAUAGCUAAGACCGGAUAACUGAUUUUCUCGCAUGAGAAAAUUAUGAAACACGGAGCAAUCUGUGGCUUAUAGAUGGGCCUGCGGCGCAUUAGCUAGUUGGUAGGGUAACGGCCUACCAAGGCGACGAUGCGUAGCCGACCCGAGAGGGUGAACGGCCACACUGGGACUGAGACACGGCCCAGACUCCUACGGGAGGCAGCAGUAGGGAAUCUUCCGCAAUGGACGCAAGUCUGACGGAGCAACGCCGCGUGAGUGAUGAAGGUUUUCGGAUCGUAAAGCUCUGUUGCCCUAGACGAACAGCAAGAGGAGUAACUGCCUUUUGUGUGACGGUAUAGGAGAAGAAAGCCCCGGCUAACUACGUGCCAGCAGCCGCGGUAAUACGUAAGGGGCAAGCGUUGUCCGGAAUUAUUGGGCGUAAAGCGCGCGCAGGCGGACAAUUAAGUUGGGUGUUUUAAGCCCGGGGCUCAUCCCCGGUUCGCAUCCAAAACUGGUCGACUUGAGUUGUGGGAAAGGACAAGUGGACCUCCUCGCGUUCGGUGUGAACUGCGUAUACAGUUUGAGCAACUCUCGCUGGCGUAUGCAACCUUUCUGGCCCAUAAUUGACUCUCACGCCCAAAAUCGAUGGGUUACAAUCUGUAACA
Molecule: ribosomal RNA, 785 nt
Filed under: uncultured bacterium
Lineage: Bacteria
Description: bacterial SSU rRNA
Rfam family: Bacterial small subunit ribosomal RNA
Source: RNAcentral